AUUGUUUCCGGGCACCCCUGGCCUCUCCCGACUUCUCCCCCUCGCGGGUCCCCAAGCCCCGCAAGUUUGCGACGAGCUGGUUCUCCAGGGAGACAGCGAGCGCCCACCCCCGCUCUGCGGCUGGGUGUGUGUGGUGAGAGGAAGAGACGGGAGGAGGAGGCGAGGCCGACUCGCCAACGAGGAAAACGGGGAGCACCAUGCAAAGUGCGGAGAUGCAGAGAGGAAAGACUACUCGGUCCUUGUUCCUUGCUGUCCCAGAGGUCACAGUGCUGUGGGGAGGGGGACAAGGACAUACCCUGUCAGGCUGCGUAUAUAAAUACACAGGUGCUAAGCAAAAUGGGAACGGAGAAGGGAAAGGUUCCCUCCACCUUGAGAGACCCACAGAAGGGUGUUCUAGAGAUGGAUGAGUCAGACUGCAAGAGAGCAAAGAUAUCUUCCUGAAUACAUUCAAUAUCAAAGCAUCAUGUGCCCUGUGUGUGCAAAAUAAUAAUAAUCAUAAUAAUAAAGUAAAAUAAAAGAUU
Molecule: long non-coding RNA, 521 nt
Filed under: Homo sapiens (human)
Lineage: Eukaryota; Metazoa; Chordata; Mammalia; Primates; Hominidae
Description: HSALNT0144285
Source: RNAcentral